UCCCAAACCCAAUGUGAACGUUACCAAACUGUUGCCUCGGCGGGGUCACGCCCCGGGUGCGUCGCAGCCCCGGAACCAGGCGCCCGCCGGAGGAACCAACCAAACUCUUUCUGUAGUCCCCUCGCGGACGUAUUUCUUACAGCUCUGAGCAAAAAUUCAAAAUGAAUCAAAACUUUCAACAACGGAUCUCUUGGUUCUGGCAUCGAUGAAGAACGCAGCGAAAUGCGAUAAGUAAUGUGAAUUGCAGAAUUCAGUGAAUCAUCGAAUCUUUGAACGCACAUUGCGCCCGCCAGUAUUCUGGCGGGCAUGCCUGUCCGAGCGUCAUUUCAACCCUCGAACCCCUCCGGGGGAUCGGCGUUGGGGAUCGGGACCCCUCACACGGGUGCCGGCCCCGAAAUACAGUGGCGGUCUCGCCGCAGCCUCUCCUGCGCAGUAGUUUGCACAACUCGCACCGGGAGCGCGGCGCGUCCACGUCCGUAAAACACCCAACUUUCUGAAAUGUUGACCUCGGAUCAGGUAGGAAUACCCGCUGAACUUAAGCAUAUCAA
This 548-nucleotide ribosomal RNA is filed under the name Trichoderma asperellum. Its description in RNAcentral is "eukaryotic LSU rRNA". The stretch from base 171 to 324 matches the Rfam family "5.8S ribosomal RNA". The record is from RNAcentral. Lineage: Eukaryota; Fungi; Ascomycota; Sordariomycetes; Hypocreales; Hypocreaceae.